This 387-nucleotide ribosomal RNA is filed under the name uncultured bacterium. RNAcentral's name for it is "bacterial SSU rRNA". It matches the Rfam family "Bacterial small subunit ribosomal RNA", at positions 30 to 416 of the family's 1533-position model. The record is from RNAcentral.
AUUGAACGCUGGCGGCAUGCCUUACACAUGCAAGUCGAACGGCAGCACGGGAGCAAUCCUGGUGGCGAGUGGCGAACGGGUGAGUAAUAUAUCGGAACGUGCCCAGUCGUGGGGAUAACGUAGCGAAAGCUACGCUAAUACCGCAUACUAUCUAUGGAUGAAAGCGGGGGAUCGCAAGACCUCGCGCGAUUGGAGCGGCCGAUAUCAGAUUAGGUAGUUGGUGAGGUAAAGGGCUCACCAAGCCGACGAUCUGUAGCUGGUCUGAGAGGACGACCAGCCACACUGGGACUGAGACACGGCCCAGACUCCUACGGGAGGCAGCAGUGGGGAAUUUUUGGACAAUGGGCGCAAGCCUGAUCCAGCAAUGCCGCGUGCAGGAUGAAGGCC